AUGCUAGCCGAGCGGUAGAGUCUCUUCGGGGACUUGAAGAGCGGCGCACGGGUGCGGAACACGUGUGCAACCUGCCUUUAUCUGGGGGAUAGCCUUUCGAAAGGAAGAUUAAUACCCCAUAAUAUACUGGAUGGCAUCAUCUGGUAUUGAAAACUCCGGUGGAUAGAGAUGGGCACGCGCAAGAUUAGAUAGUUGGUGAGGUAACGGCUCACCAAGUCAGCGAUCUUUAGGGGGCCUGAGAGGGUGAUCCCCCACACUGGUACUGAGACACGGACCAGACUCCUACGGGAGGCAGCAGUGAGGAAUAUUGGACAAUGGGUGAGAGCCUGAUCCAGCCAUCCCGCGUGAAGGACGACGGCCCUAUGGGUUGUAAACUUCUUUUGUAUAGGGAUAAACCUAGAUACGUGUAUCUAGCUGAAGGUACUAUACGAAUAAGCACCGGCUAACUCCGUGCCAGCAGCCGCGGUAAUACGGAGGGUGCAAGCGUUAUCCGGAUUUAUUGGGUUUAAAGGGUCCGUAGGCGGAUCUGUAAGUCAGUGGUGAAAUCUCACAGCUUAACUGUGAAACUGCCAUUGAUACUGCAGGUCUUGAGUGUUGUUGAAGUAGCUGGAAUAAGUAGUGUAGCGGUGAAAUGCAUAGAUAUUACUUAGAACACCAAUUGCGAAGGCAGGUUACUAAGCAACAACUGACGCUGAUGGACGAAAGCGUGGGGAGCGAACAGGAUUAGAUACCCUGGUAGUCCACGCCGUAAACGAUGCUAACUCGUUUUUGGGUUUUCGGAUUCAGAGACCUAAGCGAAAGUGAUAAGUUAGCCACCUGGGGAGUACGAACGCAAGUUUGAAACUCAAAGGAAUUGACGGGGGCCCGCACAAGCGGUGGAUUAUGUGGUUUAAUUCGAUGAUACGCGAGGAACCUUACCAAGGCUUAAAUGGGAAAUGACAGGUUUAGAAAUAGACUUUUCUUCGGACAUUUUUCAAGGUGCUGCAUGGUUGUCGUCAGCUCGUGCCGUGAGGUGUUAGGUUAAGUCCUGCAACGAGCGCAACCCCUGUCACUAGUUGCCAUCAUUAAGUUGGGGACUCUAGUGAGACUGCCUACGCAAGUAGAGAGGAAGGUGGGGAUGACGUCAAAUCAUCACGGCCCUUACGCCUUGGGCCACACACGUAAUACAAUGGCCGGUACAGAGGGCAGCUACACAGUGAUGUGAUGCAAAUCUCGAAAGCCGGUCUCAGUUCGGAUUGGAGUCUGCAACUCGACUCUAUGAUAGCUGGAAUCGCUAGUAAUCGCGCAUCAGCGCAAG
This 1297-nucleotide ribosomal RNA is filed under the name Chryseobacterium indologenes. RNAcentral describes it as "bacterial SSU rRNA". It matches the Rfam family "Bacterial small subunit ribosomal RNA", at positions 55 to 1356 of the family's 1533-position model. The record is from RNAcentral. Lineage: Bacteria; Pseudomonadati; Bacteroidota; Flavobacteriia; Flavobacteriales; Weeksellaceae.